GCCCAGGUCGCAUAACCUGGUAUUGCGCAGGAUUGCUAAUCCUGUGUCUUUCGGGACUUGCAGGUUCAAAUCCUGCCCUGGGCG
RNAcentral lists this transfer RNA (84 nucleotides) under Nanobdellati archaeon. RNAcentral's name for it is "tRNA-Ser". It matches the Rfam family "tRNA". From Rfam's summary of the family: Transfer RNA (tRNA) molecules are approximately 80 nucleotides in length. Their secondary structure includes four short double-helical elements and three loops (D, anti-codon, and T loops). Further hydrogen bonds mediate the characteristic L-shaped molecular structure. tRNAs have two regions of fundamental functional importance: the anti-codon, which is responsible for specific mRNA codon recognition, and the 3' end, to which the tRNAs corresponding amino acid is attached (by aminoacyl-tRNA synthetases). tRNAs cope with the degeneracy of the genetic code in two manners: having more than one tRNA (with a specific anti-codon) for a particular amino acid; and 'wobble' base-pairing, i.e. permitting non-standard base-pairing at the 3rd anti-codon position. The record is from RNAcentral. Lineage: Archaea; Nanobdellati.